This is a long non-coding RNA of Lactuca sativa (garden lettuce), 766 nucleotides long. RefSeq lists it as uncharacterized. NCBI's taxonomy places the organism in Eukaryota, Viridiplantae, Streptophyta, Magnoliopsida, Asterales, Asteraceae. The record is from RefSeq and is a predicted model, not a curated record.
AAUUUACUAAUACAAUAGAAAAAAAGGGUAAAACGAAUUUGCAAACUUAACAAAAUUGACCCAAAAGUUAAAAUUGCAAUUCUUCACUUUUGCUUAUACUUGUUUGCUUAUCCGAGAACGAUGAAGCCUUCUGCCAACGAUGCCUCCGCCUUCGGCCGACGAUGCCUCCGCCGCCGGUCUCCGGUCGACGACACAUACGAAGUCUCCUAAUCCGGCCUACAGUUGCUUCCGCCUCCUCCUUCUUUCACAUUGUUUACAGGUCUGAGGUUAUACAUCAGAAAUUUACCAUUACAUAUGGAUGAGGUAUUAGUGCAAACAACCAAGAGUAGGAGGAUCCGUAUGUUAGAAAGAAAAACCAAAAAAAGAAGUGUUGGUAAACGCAAAACGAAACAUCUUGAAGCAAGUUGGAAUGGUGAUCCAUGUGUUCCGCAUCAUCCAUGGAGUGGAAUUGGCUGAUUAAUAAGGCUGGAAUGCAAAGCCAGAAUGGGCUGGAAAGGCUGGAAUGCAAAGCCAAAAUGGGCUGGAAGGAAUGGGGAUGUGAGACAUCAAGUACGGUUGUAUAUUGGUGUAUUAGAUGUGUAUAUAAGGUGUAUUAGAUGAUACUUGAGACAUCAAUUACGGUUGUUUAUUGGUGUAUUAGAUAUGUAUAUAUAUGGCGUACUAGAUAAUUGUAUGUAAUGAUUGUAUGGGAUGGUAUAGGAUACAUAUAACACGGUUAAAUAACCGUAUUUUAUUAUGCAUGUAAUCUAAUACACCCCUCUACUAA